GAUGAACGCUGGCGGCGUGCUUAACACAUGCAAGUCGAACGUGAUCCAUUAGCAAUAGUGGUGAAAGUGGCGAACGGGUGAGUAACACGUAGAUAACCUGCCCUGAAGCGGGGGAUAACGAUUGGAAACGGUCGCUAAUACCGCAUGAGUCCAUCGAAUCGGGAGAGAGAUGGAGAAAAUCACGGUGCUUCAGGAGGGGUCUGCGUCCGAUUAGCUAGUUGGCGAGGUAAAGGCUCACCAAGGCGACGAUCGGUAGCUGGUCUGAGAGGACGAUCAGCCACACGGGAACUGAGACACGGUCCCGACUCCUACGGGGGGCAGCAGUGAGGAAUAUUGGGCAAUGGGCGGAAGCCUGACCCAGCAACGCCGCGUGGAGGAUGAAGGCCUUCGGGUCGUAAACUCCUUUUGUCGGGGAAGAGGAAGGACGGUACCCGGCGAAUAAGUCACGGCUAACUACGUG
RNAcentral lists this ribosomal RNA (460 nucleotides) under uncultured organism. RNAcentral describes it as "bacterial SSU rRNA". It matches the Rfam family "Bacterial small subunit ribosomal RNA", at positions 28 to 507 of the family's 1533-position model. The record is from RNAcentral.